AACAAGCCCAAAGACCCUGCCCCAUGCUCUCCACGCUGGGCUCCGUUCCCCCGCUGGCACACUGAAGAAGGAGCAUAGCAUUGGAGCAAGGUCCAACACUGAAAGCACCUGCUUGGCAAGAUCCUCAAAACUUCCUCCUGAGAGAGAGAGAUCAACAUUAUAAUCCUCACUUCAUAAAGGAUGGACUCGACGUACAAGAAACUCCUCAGCUGCUUAAAGCCAGGGUCAAUGACGGCGCUAUAGUUGGUACUCAGAACCUAAUGCUCUUUGCUGAGGCCCAUGCCCUCUACACCGCAUAUGCCACGGGGAAUGCUGGAUGAAGCUAGGGCUCCAACAGAAACCUCAUAGGCCUGGCACUCUGAAGGCAUCCACCAGUACAUUGGGUAAUAGCCUAAGGAAGAUACUCUCCAAGAGUCAGUCAACAUGUACAGCCAGCACUUGUGGAGACCCCAGCAUCAAACAUGCAAAGUGCCAUGGGACCCGAAAGCAAUGAAUUUCAGAUUCUCAAGUUCAAGACAACUUUCCAAGUUUCUGCUCUGGGGAAGCCUACUCAGAAAUACCUGACCCAUGUUGUAUUCCCGUUUGGUAUUUAAUAGCAAAAGACAUUCAAAAAGGUCUCUAGAGCUGUGUGAAGAACACAGACGAAUGUACGGCUUCUUGGAAUCGGCUAGAGCCUCUCGAAUCAACAGCAAAGACCUGCUACAAACCAAGGCUCUGGUGCCCACCUGCAAGAACACGCUGAGCUCUCCUAUCCUCUAUCCUAAAAGCACACCUUGGUGAAAAUACACGUCUCUUUCCUUAGCCAGAAUGCAUGACAUGCCCACCUCCCGUGGGCUCCGGAACACCAUCGGACACACUGCCACAAGGGUGAGUGAGUCGGAGGGACUUACAGUUGAAGAUGCCUGGCGGUGGAUGCUCAGUCACCAGGAGGCAGUUCUCUUCGUCGCUGUUGUCCCCACAGUCGUUCUGUUGGUUACAGACCAGAGAACCAAGAUACAAGCAUUUACCGCUGGUGCAGGUGAAUUUGCACUCUGGAAAAGCACAAGACAUGAGGCGGUCAGUGCUCGCUCCUGCCACUGCCCCGUCCCCCUCCACACACACACACACACCUCCCAGGGGCAUGUCAUGAUGAUUUGAGAACUGAGAUUAUCUGGAGGUCCCAGGAAACUGAUCUCAGAAGGGCCAUCUAGACGAGGCCGGUCUUGCUUCGCCAUGUGGCACUCUGAGGCCUGCCCGGGGCACAGCACUACCCACAAAUGAGUACACAGUUGCUCUCUUCCUUCCAUUGCUUGCCCUCCCUAUGAGAGUCAUUCUGCUUCAAACCAACCUUGACAGCUUCCCACACCCUGACAGGGUAUAUAUGAUAAAAUCUAUAUUUUAUAAUGCAGGACAAGACAUGGUAUUCUACUUCCUAUGAAGCGUGUGUGUAGAAGGCCACACUGACAGAUUAUAAAAUAAUAUAGAGCCCACCCCCACAUCCCUGUGGGUUGUACUGAACACAGGAUAUCUGAGCUGUGCAAAUCUAUAUUUGGAAAAUGAAAUUUACUGAAACGGGACUUUAAAAUAAAACUCCCAACUUAAACAAUUGUAAGCAAUUAAAGGGGAUUUUUAAUUCAAAGAGAUUUAAGCAGCUAAAAGAGAGAUUAUACAACAAAACACAAUCCGUUGUAUAAACACUGAUGGAUAGCACCUUGGACUUUAGGUACACAUAGAAAUUAAGAGGCAUCACAUCACACAGGGUACAUGGCCAAUAGAAGAGCUUCAAGAAGUGUCAUGGGUUCCAGCAAUGGCAACUCUCACAGCUAUCUCAGCUGCCAAGGCCUCUUCCUGUCUCAAAUGAGAGCGGUAGACCUGGGUCAAGUGUCAAGCCAUUUCAACUCCAACUUUCCAUUAAAAUAAAAUUCCAAAUAAAAGGC
This is a long non-coding RNA of Mastomys coucha (southern multimammate mouse), 1916 nucleotides long. RefSeq lists it as uncharacterized. The transcript has 5 exons. Lineage: Eukaryota; Metazoa; Chordata; Mammalia; Rodentia; Muridae. The record is from RefSeq and is a predicted model, not a curated record.